RNAcentral lists this ribosomal RNA (465 nucleotides) under uncultured bacterium. RNAcentral describes it as "partial 16S ribosomal RNA". It matches the Rfam family "Bacterial small subunit ribosomal RNA", at positions 28 to 507 of the family's 1533-position model. The record is from RNAcentral.
GAUGAACGCUGGCGGCGUGCUUAACACAUGCAAGUCGAACGGAAAGGCUCCUGCUUGCAGGGGUACUCGAGUGGCGAACGGGUGAGUAACACGUGGGUGAUCUGCCCUGCACUUCGGGAUAAGCCUGGGAAACUGGGUCUAAUACCGGAUAGGACGAUGGUUUGGAUGCCAUUGUGGAAAGUUUUUCGGUGUGGGAUGAGCUCGCGGCCUAUCAGCUUGUUGGUGGGGUAAUGGCCUACCAAGGCGUCGACGGGUAGCCGGCCUGAGAGGGUGUACGGCCACAUUGGGACUGAGAUACGGCCCAGACUCCUACGGGAGGCAGCAGUGGGGAAUAUUGCACAAUGGGCGCAAGCCUGAUGCAGCGACGCCGCGUGGGGUAUGACGGCCUUCGGGUUGUAAACUCCUUUCGCUAGGGACGAAGCGCAAGUGACGGUACCUGGAGAAGAAGCACCGGCUAACUACGUG